ACGACGCUGGCGGCGUGCCUAAUACAUGCAAGUCGAACGGUCUUUCUAUGGAAGCUUGCUUCCACUGAGAAGAUAGUGGCGAACGGGUGAGUAACACGUGGGUAACCUGCCCAUAAGAGGGGGGAUAACAUCCGGAAACGGGUGCUAAUACCGCAUAGUUUUCUUGAUCGCAUGAUUGAGAAAGGAAAGACGGCCUUUGUGCUGUCGCUUAUGGAGGGACCCGCGGCGUAUUAGUUAGUUGGUGAGGUAACGGCUCACCAAGACGAUGAUACGUAGCCGACCUGAGAGGGUGAUCGGCCACAUUGGGACUGAGACACGGCCCAAACUCCUACGGGAGGCAGCAGUAGGGAAUCUUCCGCAAUGGACGAAAGUCUGACGGAGCAACGCCGCGUGAGUGAAGAAAGGUUUUCGGAUCGUAAAACUCUGUUGUCAGAGAAGAACAAGUUGGAGAGUAACUGCUCCAGCCUUGACGGUAUCUGACCAGAAAGCCACGGCUAACUACGUGCCAGCCGCAGC
RNAcentral lists this ribosomal RNA (516 nucleotides) under uncultured bacterium. RNAcentral's name for it is "bacterial SSU rRNA". It matches the Rfam family "Bacterial small subunit ribosomal RNA", at positions 32 to 518 of the family's 1533-position model. The record is from RNAcentral.